ACUGGCAGGCUAGAGUCUUGUAGAGGGGGGUAGAAUUCCAGGUGUAGCGGUGAAAUGCGUAGAGAUCUGGAGGAAUACCGGUGGCGAAGGCGGCCCCCUGGACAAAGACUGACGCUCAGGUGCGAAAGCGUGGGGAGCAAACAGGAUUAGAUACCCUGGUAGUCCACGCCGUAAACGAUGUCGAUUUGGAGGUUGUGCCCUUGAGGCGUGGCUUCCGGAGCUAACGCGUUAAAUCGACCGCCUGGGGAGUACGGCCGCAAGGUUAAAACUCAAAUGAAUUGACGGGGGCCCGCACAAGCGGUGGAGCAUGUGGUUUAAUUCGAUGCAACGCGAAGAACCUUACCUGGUCUUGACAUCCACAGAACUUUCCAGAGAUGGAUUGGUGCCUUCGGGAACUGUGAGACAGGUGCUGCAUGGCUGUCGUCAGCUCGUGUUGUGAAAUGUUGGGUUAAGUCCCGCAA
This 461-nucleotide ribosomal RNA is filed under the name Klebsiella pneumoniae. Its description in RNAcentral is "bacterial SSU rRNA". It matches the Rfam family "Bacterial small subunit ribosomal RNA", at positions 632 to 1092 of the family's 1533-position model. Lineage: Bacteria; Pseudomonadati; Pseudomonadota; Gammaproteobacteria; Enterobacterales; Enterobacteriaceae. The record is from RNAcentral.